CAUUAACGUUAUCGUAGAGCGUUAGCAUUAGCAUUACCUUGUAAUGAUAUCUUUCAAUUCCAUUUUCAGUCAUUUAUAUCGCGUGGGUAAAAAUGUGUUUGUGUUUCUGUGACGGAGGCGUCCCUGACAUGAGUUGUGGGCUCUUGGUAAUCUGUGUAAAUACCUGUUUGUAUUUGUUUCCACUUUACCGAUAUUUUCUGUCUCUUUGUCAGUUUGUGUUCCAUCCUGGUCAUGUUAACUUCGUUUACGACGGUAUAUCGUUGUCAUUGGUUUGUGGCUAUUUGUGGUCAUUUUAUAUCAUUUUGCGUCUCUACUUGGCUGUUUUACACCUGGGUGUUGUGUUAGCAGUAGCGUCGAGCGUUAGCAUCAGCCUUAUCUCCUAGUGCUGUCUAUGGGGCUUUUUAUUUGCGUGGGUUAAAGUGUGUUUGUGUUUCUGUGACUAACUGUAUGUAUGUAUGUAUAUUUAUUUAGUAGACAUUGUAUUGCUUCUUUGUAAUUUUGUGCUCCAUAUUGGUCAUUUUAAGUCAGUUUAUGGCGUAUUAUCUUUUUGAUGUCAUGUCUCUUUCUGGUGGCAUUGCAUCGUUUUGCGUCUCAAGCUGGCUGUUUCACAUGUAUCUACUACUCUAUUUAUCUUAUCGUCAGCUUCUUUGCGGUUGUUUUGCAUCAUAUUGUGUCUUCGUAGUCUCGUGUCUAUUCCUGGUCAUUUAACGUUUCUCUGUCGCCAUUUUGUGUUUCAGUGUGGCGGUUAAGCAUCUCAUUGUGGUCAUUUUGCGACUCAGUCUUUGCCUCUUUGUUGUUUUGUGUGUCUUUGUAGCUUUGUGGUAGUAAUCUGUCCAGUGUUUCAGUGUUGUAUUCUAUGACACCAUUCAAGUUUUGGAGGUGAACUAUUCUUUUUUCAAUUAGGUUAUUUGUUUUUCAAGUGUUGUACUUGUGUUUUCCAGGUUUACUUGUUCAGUUGCUGCAUCCUGGACUGAAACACCAGCACUCACCUUAAAAACCAAAUAGGUGUCACCACUUCGUCCACCAUGUAGUCCAUGAUCACAGAGAUGUCAUCCACAAUUGCAGAGACAUGGUCCAUGAUUGGAGAGACAUUGUUGAGGAUGAGGGAGACGUCGUCCACGAUUGCAGAAUGUCUUCAUACAAUAAAGAAGUUCUUUGAGACCAGAACUAAGACCUCCAGGUGUCACGACGUUGUCCACGGUCGCAGGGAGUCUUUCUACGACAAGGAAGUUCUUUGAGACCAGGACUGAGGCCUCAGGAGGAGAAGACGACAGCAGCUGAAGACCUGAAGCGGAUGAAAGAAAACAAAAGUGUUACAAAGCUGUUGAUUAGAUAAAAGACCUCCACCAUCUAACUGCUGUAAACAGUAUUGGUUUGCUGUUGUUCAAGUGAAAACACUUUGUUUUUCCUCUACCAUCUGUAAUGUAGUCAUGGGCACAUUUUCCAACACUCAUGAGAACAUUGAACUGCUUAUGAUACAACUAUUUAAUUAAUAAUUGUAUCACAAGUAGAUGCUUACAAGACAUGUUCAUCUUUGGAAAAUGUGCUCAUAACUAAAUUAACCCUAACCCAAGUCUUUUCUUGUGGUCAAAUGUCUGUGAUUUGUAAAAUGUCUGGAAUAAAAUCAUUAAA
Lates calcarifer (barramundi perch) is the source of this 1632-nucleotide long non-coding RNA. RefSeq lists it as uncharacterized. The transcript is spliced from 4 exons. The record is from RefSeq and is a predicted model, not a curated record. Lineage: Eukaryota; Metazoa; Chordata; Actinopteri; Centropomidae.